Long non-coding RNA from Felis catus (domestic cat), 4878 nucleotides. RefSeq lists it as uncharacterized. The record is from RefSeq and is a predicted model, not a curated record. The transcript has 3 exons. Lineage: Eukaryota; Metazoa; Chordata; Mammalia; Carnivora; Felidae.
AUCAUGACCUGAGCCGAGGUCACACAUUUAACCGACUGAGCCACCCAGGCGCCCCUAAAGACUUUGUAUUUUAAAGCAGUUUUAUGUUCACAGCAAAACUGAAAGACAAGGUGUCUCAUCUACCUUCUGUCCCCACACAUACACAACCUCUCCCACUAGAGUGGGACCUUUGUGGCAGCUGAUGAACCUAUAUUGACACAUCACAAUCAGUAAAAGUCCGCAGUUGACAGGAGGGUUCACUUUCGGUGUUGGACAUUCUAUGUGUUUGGACAAACGUAUAAGGACACGCACCUGCCAGUAUAGCAUCACAGAAUACUUUCAUUGCCCUAAAAACCCUCUGUGCCCGGCUUAUUCAUUGAUUCCUCCCCGUCGCCCUGGCAACCACUGAUGCUUUCGCUAUUUCCAUAGCUUUGCCUUUUUCCAGAAUAGUUGGAAUCAUACAGUACGUAGACUUUUUAGAUUGGCUGUCUUCAUUUAGUAAUACGCAUUUGACAAGCAUCCACGUCUUUACGUGGCUUGAUAACUCAUUUUGUUUCAGCACUGAAUAAUAUUCCAACGUUUGGAUGUACCACUGUUUAUCCCCUGACCGCUUCCAAGUUUUGGCAAUUAUGAAUCAAGCUGCUGUAAACAUCCGGGUGCAGGUUUUUGUGUGGACAUGUUUUCCGCUCUUUGGGGUGAAUACCAGGGAGCAAGGUCACCGGAUCCCACGGUAAGAGUAUGGUUAGGUAUGUAAGAAACCACCUACUGUCUUCCAAAGUGGCUGUGCCAUUUACACCCCAACCACUAUGGAUGAGCUCCUGCGGCUCCCCAUUUGGUGUUGGCAGUCCUCUGGGUUUUGGCCAUUCUAAUGGAUGUGUAGUGAUUAAAAUGGCCCUUUUCUUAGAAAUAGUCUUGUGUAAUAAGCAAAAGUGCAAUUUCUUGUGCACAUGUGGGCACAGCUCCUUACCUGCCCCUCGACGUAUGGUGAUGCUGAGUGACAGCAACUCUCUUUACCUCAUUUCCCACCUGUGUGCAAAAAGGGACAGAGCUAGAGCUGAUUCACCAGCCUGUCUUCCGCCAGGGCAUUCUACUAACCGCUCUAGGUCUCAAAAGUUACUCCCUCACCCAUCAAUUCAUUCAACUCACAUGUAUCGAAUGCCUCCCACGAGUCAGAUGCCUUCCUGCUCAACUUUUUUAAUGAUGACCUGAAUUUAUCUGGUUUUAACACAUGUCCAUUCCUAGGUAGACAUUUUAUUCACUCCCUUCUCUGUUGUCUCCAUUCUGGCUUGGCAAGGUAAGAAACCAAGGGUACAUCCAGCUCAAGCCAAUGAGGAAGAGAAGUGGGGCUAAACGGGGCUUGGGAAGACCCUUGGAAGCAUAUUCUGAGAGCAGAUUUGGUAACCUCGCUAUGGUGUCUACUCACAGAAUUAUGAGGGGAAACCCAAUCGGUAGUCGAACCACCGUAUCACAAAAACUAGCUUGCACGUUGAUCUUAUAUGUUCUUUAAGGGCCUUGUGACAAUACACGAGCAAGGCCUUUCUGAGUUCAAAUAUUGGAUCUGCGCUUACUUUCUAUGUGAACUUGGGUUGUUUAUUCAAUCCCUCUGGAUCUUCAAGAGGGUUGUAGAGUUGCAGAGUUGUCUGUGAAGAAACACAAUAAGGCCGAACACACACAUAUGACUUACCUGGCACAUACCAGGUGUCAUUUGUGAUCAUUCCUGUAUCUCCAGGAACCAGGUCUCAUUUUUCUGUGACCCCCCAAUACGCACAGUGCUCAGAGAAUAUGUUUUAUUUUAAACUAAAUGGAUUUCUGCCCUGCUUAACCCACUAUUUGGAUCGGGUUCUCUUCAAUGGGAAUUAAAAAUGUCAGUGCUUACUUUUAUAUUCUCUAAGUGUCUCUAAUGCCUUUCCCCAAACAUUAGAAUCAUGGCUAGUGUUUGCUCCUAAAACGCAAGGAUUUUUAAGCUAGAAAAUCCAAACAAAGCCACAAGAGAUCUUGGCUUUGUGGUUGGGGGUCUCAACUGGGGAGAAAAGACAAAUUCUAAAUUACAGCAUUGUUUGGCCAAUGUGGGACAAUUUCAAGGCUCUUUCGCGGGGCAUUUUCUGGGGGUGAGAGAGAAGACUAGUCAUGAAGUCUCUGCAACGCGCCCCCCCCCCCCCGGAGGCAUCAUCUGUACUAAGACUGCACAAAGCACAAUGCUUUGUGAAACCCAGGGCAUGCUUAUUAAGGGCUUGGAAGGAUCUUGUCAAGAUUCUAGUGGCAUCUCGCCCAAAAGGAUGUGCACGGGUGAGAAGUAUUUCACUUCCUUCUGAAACUGUGCCUCACUUUCUCUACCCAUCAAAUGGGAUGUCUUUGCCCCAUCCCAUCCCUAGAAUGUUCUGAAGAUACAUUCAAACCCAUACAUGAGAAAGAGCUCUAAAACACACGCAUGAAAUAUCUCCUCCAUUAUUCCAGGUGAGGCAACAGGGCAGUGUUUCAAAGGACAUGGACACCAGGCUGGAGAGAAUUAGGUGUGAAACCACUUACGUGCCUCCAGUUCUCAUCUGGAAAGUGCAGACAACUACCUUAUAGGGGAGAUGGCAGGACGAAGUGAGCAGCUGCUGGCCAUUCAUAAAGUCCUGCCACAAAUCUGACCGGUGCCCCCAGCAGCCCCGUGAGGUGAUUGGAAGCUGAGACACCAAGAGAGGAGGCCAAAGUCACACAGCCAAGGAGGAGCCUGCACUCCAGCUCAGAGCUUCUGACCCCCCCGGUGCUGCUGGCUUCCCUCAAACAGCAUCAGAGGGCAGAUCUCCCAUGUACUGAUGCAUCUUGUGGCAGCCAAGAGACGCAGAACAGACCACCUGCAUGGCUCUCCAUGGAGGGCAAAGUUGGGGAAUUGUGCAGACCAGCCUCCAGUUCCAGGCUUGGCAGUGAAUCUGAGGAAUACUCACCAACUCGUAUUUAAAAAAAAAAAAAAAGCUCUGUUUCCUUCCUGAAUCAAAGGAAAUGCUAUAUCCCUUGGCAGUGCAGCCCGAAUAACUUCAGCGACUCCCACAGUGAUUCAGACACCGCCCCCUACAACAGGCUGUUGUCUUUCCUCCCCUCCCGGUGCCAAGUCCCAGGGUUUGCCCAGCCCGGCUCGGGAGUCCCCAGGCCCAGCUGCUCGGCCCCAGCGAGCCAGACCGGGAGGUGGAUCGGGGCAACCAGCCUGGGGCAAUCUGAAAAAGUCAUCUUCCAGGAAAUUCCAGACACAAGGCGCCCUGUCACCACAGUGAGGGGGACACUCACCAGAAGGGACUGCGUCAAUCCCCUCCUGCAGUCUGAGCACUGUCGGCAUGCAACUCGGCACAGAAGGUUUUGUCAUUUGGACUGUAAUAAAUCCCACUUCCUGAACUCUGUGCCCCUCCGGGUUCUACAUCAACCACACCGUCCGUCCCUGCAUGUACCCCUGCCCUGUCGGGGCCCAGUGCACCUGCAGCCGCCAUCGGAGGCCUCAGGUGCUGCUCACGUGUGCUAAUGAAAAGUGCUCUCCGGCCACCUUGGAGGACAGGGGCAAUGUGCUCCAGCUAAGGCAGCGGGGCUCAACCUUGACUGCACCCGAGAAUCCCCUGGGAGCUUUCACAAUCCUGAUGACCAGGCUGCAGACCAGACCAAUUAAACUACAGUCUCUGGGGGUAGGAGCCAGGUAUCAGGACUUUUUUUUUUUUUAAGUUGGCCAAAGGAUUUCCAGUGUGCAGUCAAGUUUAAGAAGACCUGGGACUGCAGAGGGCGUCCUUUCUUUUCUUUUCUCCUUCUUUCCCCCUCCCUUCCUUCCUUCUUCCUUCCUUCCUGUCACCCUCUCUCCCUCCUUCCUUCACACUGUUUACUGAAGCAUCUUAUUCUAUGGUCAAAGCCCAGGGUUUACAGACAGACCAUCCUCACUUUGAAUUCCAGCUUGGCUGCCACUGCGUGUGCAAAUCCUUUCACUUCUUCGAAGUUUGGCUUUCUCAUUCUCAUAAAGCAGGGAACAUUAAAGGACUUACCCCCAGAGAAUCCUUGUGAGGAUUAAAUAUCACAGAUGAAGUGUUUACCAUGGUACCUAGAAAUUAGUAUGUGCUCAAUAAAUGUGCAUGGAUUUUCUUCUAGCUAUUAUUGUAGUUUCCCGAGAGCUAUGCUAGAUGUGGGGACGACAAAAGAAAGAACACAGGCUUAAUGUUUGUUCGCACACAACUGACUCUCUUCCCAUUCAGUCCUUAGCUGGAGAAUAGCCUUGCACUGCUGGCCAGGACAGGGUGGACGGAGAUUUCUCUUAAUUAGUACCUAUCAUUCACUGAACACACCCAAUGUUCAAUCAUAUCACAACCAUACAGGGCACUGUCCUGAACGUGUACUGAACGUGAUGUCAUCAGUGGCUCUGUGCCAACCCGGAGCAGAAAAUGCUAUUGAUAUUUACAUCUUGCAGGUGGAGAAUCAGAGGCUCAGAGCAAUUCACCAUUUCACCCAUGGUCACAUGGGUAGAUACAAACCCAAGCUUUCAAGCACCACGUGGCUCUUCUUCCUACGUGGAUCUGGGGUAUGCCUGCAAGGGAAUUAUGAGGGCUGGCUAGAAUAAGGAGGAUAAAGCAGGUCCUCUAAGCUGGAGCACGUUAGGGGAAGGACACAACCAAACUGGGGUGAAGCCACGGUAUUGAGGGGCCAGGCACAAAGGGGAAUAAGUAUGGCAAAUGGAGGUGAAGAGGGAGGGGUCUGGAUGGGUCCAGGAGUAGGGGAACAGUGAUGAGUGGGCAGCGAGUCAAUUUAAAGUGUCCAGGGCAGAAUGGGAUGUUCUCAAUUCAUAGAAAUCUUGGCCAAGUCCGGGCGCCUGGGUGGCUCAGUCGGUUAAGCAUCCGACUUUAGCUCAUGUCAUGAUCUCGAGGCUCAUGUCCGUGAGUUCGAGCCCCA